RNAcentral lists this ribosomal RNA (259 nucleotides) under uncultured Geobacillus sp. Its description in RNAcentral is "partial 16S ribosomal RNA". It matches the Rfam family "Bacterial small subunit ribosomal RNA", at positions 1125 to 1382 of the family's 1533-position model. The record is from RNAcentral. Lineage: Bacteria; Bacillati; Bacillota; Bacilli; Caryophanales; Anoxybacillaceae.
AUUCGGUUGGGCACUCUAGAGGGACUGCCGGCGACAAGUCGGAGGAAGUGGGGAUGACGUCAAAUCAUCAUGCCCCUUAUGACCUGGGCUACGACACGUGCUACAAUGGGCGGUACAAAGGGCUGCGAACCCGCGAGGGGGAGCGGAAUCCCAAAAAGCCGCUCUCAGUUCGGAUUGCAGGCUGCAACUCGCCUGCAUGAAGCCGGAAUCGCUAGUAAUCGCGGAUCAGCAUGCCGCGGUGAAUACGUUCCCGGGCCUU